RNAcentral lists this ribosomal RNA (438 nucleotides) under Listeria innocua. RNAcentral's name for it is "partial 23S ribosomal RNA". It matches the Rfam family "Bacterial large subunit ribosomal RNA", at positions 194 to 629 of the family's 2925-position model. Lineage: Bacteria; Bacillati; Bacillota; Bacilli; Caryophanales; Listeriaceae. The record is from RNAcentral.
UGAAACAUCUAAGUACCUGGAGGAAGAGAAAGAAAAAUCGAUUUCCUGAGUAGCGGCGAGCGAAACGGAAAGAGCCCAAACCAAGAAGCUUGCUUCUUGGGGUUGUAGGACACUCUAUACGGAGUUACAAAAGAAAGUUAUAAAUGAAGCGGUCUGGAAAGGCCCGCCAAAGACGGUAACAGCCCGGUAGUUGAAAUGGCUUUCCCUCCAGAGUGGAUCCUGAGUACGGCGGAACACGUGAAAUUCCGUCGGAAUCCGGGAGGACCAUCUCCCAAGGCUAAAUACUCCCUAGUGACCGAUAGUGAACCAGUACCGUGAGGGAAAGGUGAAAAGCACCCCGGAAGGGGAGUGAAACAGUUCCUGAAACCGUGUGCCUACAAGUAGUUAGAGCCCGUUAAUGGGUGAUAGCGUGCCUUUUGUAGAAUGAACCGGCGAGUU